GGCCAGACUCCUACGGGAGGCAGCAGUGGGGAAUAUUGCACAAUGGGCGCAAGCCUGAUGCAGCCAUGCCGCGUGUAUGAAGAAGGCCUUCGGGUUGUAAAGUACUUUCAGCGGGGAGGAAGGCGAUAAGGUUAAUAACCUUGUUGAUUGACGUUACCCGCAGAAGAAGCACCGGCUAACUCCGUGCCAGCAGCCGCGGUAAUACGGAGGGUGCAAGCGUUAAUCGGAAUUACUGGGCGUAAAGCGCACGCAGGCCGGCUGUCCAGGCGGAUGUGAAAUCCCCGGGCUCAACCCGGGAACUGCCUUCGAAACUGGCAGGGUGGAGUCCUGGAGAGGGGGGUAGAAUUCCAGGUGUAGCGGUGAAAUGCGUAGAGAUCUGGAGGAAUACCGGUGGCGAAGGCGGCCCCCUGGACAAAGACUGACGCUCAGGUGCGAAAGCGUGGGGAGCAAACAGGAUUAGAUACCCGCGUA
This 471-nucleotide ribosomal RNA is filed under the name uncultured bacterium. RNAcentral's name for it is "bacterial SSU rRNA". It matches the Rfam family "Bacterial small subunit ribosomal RNA", at positions 329 to 792 of the family's 1533-position model. The record is from RNAcentral.